RNAcentral lists this ribosomal RNA (253 nucleotides) under uncultured bacterium. RNAcentral's name for it is "partial 16S ribosomal RNA". It matches the Rfam family "Bacterial small subunit ribosomal RNA", at positions 524 to 776 of the family's 1533-position model. The record is from RNAcentral.
UACGUAGGGUGCAAGCGUUGUCCGGAAUUAUUGGGCGUAAAGAGCUCGUAGGCGGUCUGUCGCGUCGGAUGUGAAAAUCCAGGGCUCAACCCUGGACCUGCAUUCGAUACGGGCAGACUAGAGUUCGGUAGGGGAGACUGGAAUUCCUGGUGUAGCGGUGAAAUGCGCAGAUAUCAGGAAGAACACCCGUGGCUAAGGCGGCUCUCUAGUACGGUACUGACGCUGAGACGCGAAAGCGUGGGGAGCGAACAGG